This 400-nucleotide ribosomal RNA is filed under the name Leifsonia sp. NF177. Its description in RNAcentral is "bacterial SSU rRNA". It matches the Rfam family "Bacterial small subunit ribosomal RNA", at positions 987 to 1393 of the family's 1533-position model. Lineage: Bacteria; Bacillati; Actinomycetota; Actinomycetes; Micrococcales; Microbacteriaceae. The record is from RNAcentral.
UAGACGGGCUAGAAUAGUCAACUCUUUGGACACUCGUAAACAGGUGGUGCAUGGUUGUCGUCAGCUCGUGUCGUGAGAUGUUGGGUUAAGUCCCGCAACGAGCGCAACCCUCGUUCUAUGUUGCCAGCACGUAAUGGUGGGAACUCAUAGGAGACUGCCGGGGUCAACUCGGAGGAAGGUGGGGAUGACGUCAAAUCAUCAUGCCCCUUAUGUCUUGGGCUUCACGCAUGCUACAAUGGCCGGUACAAAGGGCUGCAAUACCGCAAGGUGGAGCGAAUCCCAAAAAGCCGGUCUCAGUUCGGAUUGAGGUCUGCAACUCGACCUCAUGAAGUCGGAGUCGCUAGUAAUCGCAGAUCAGCAACGCUGCGGUGAAUACGUUCCCGGGUCUUGUACCCCCCGA